AGAGUUUGAUCCUGGCUCAGGAUGAACGCUAGCUACAGGCUUAACACAUGCAAGUCGAGGGGAAACGACAUCGAAAGCUUGCUUUUGAUGGGCGUCGACCGGCGCACGGGUGAGUAACGCGUAUCCAACCUGCCCACCACUUGGGGAUAACCUUGCGAAAGUAAGACUAAUACCCAAUGAUAUCUCUAGAAGACAUCUGAAACGAGAUUAAAGAUUUAUCGGUGAUGGAUCGGGGAUGCGUCUGAUUAGACUUGUUGGCGGGUAACGGCCCACCAAGGCAACGAUCAGUAGGGGUUCUGAGAGGAAGGUCCCCCACAUUGGAACUGAGACACGGUCCAACUCCUACGGGAGGCAGCA
This 357-nucleotide ribosomal RNA is filed under the name uncultured bacterium. RNAcentral's name for it is "bacterial SSU rRNA". It matches the Rfam family "Bacterial small subunit ribosomal RNA", at positions 8 to 353 of the family's 1533-position model. The record is from RNAcentral.